ACGGGGUGCAGCAGGCGCGAAAACUUUACAAUGCGGGCAACCGCGAUAAGGGGACCUCGAGUGCUGGGUUACAAACCUGGCUGUUGGGCUGCCUAAAAAGCAGUCUAUAGCAAGGGCCGGGCAAGACCGGUGCCAGCCGCCGCGGUAACACCGGCGGCUCGAGUGGUAACCGCUAUUAUUGGGUCUAAAGGGUCUGUAGCCGGCCGACUAAGUCUCUUGGGAAAUCUGGCAUCUCAAGUGUCAGGCUGCCAGGGGAUACUGGUCGGCUUGGGACCGGGAGAGGUGAGAGGUACCUCGGGGGUAGGGGUGAAAUCUUGUAAUCCUCGAGGGACCACCAGUGGCGAAGGCGUCUCACCAGAACGGAUCCGACGGCAAGGGACGAAAGCUAGGGGCACGAA
This 398-nucleotide ribosomal RNA is filed under the name uncultured Methanosaeta sp. Its description in RNAcentral is "bacterial SSU rRNA". It matches the Rfam family "Archaeal small subunit ribosomal RNA", at positions 325 to 723 of the family's 1478-position model. The record is from RNAcentral. Lineage: Archaea; Methanobacteriati; Methanobacteriota; Methanomicrobia; Methanotrichales; Methanotrichaceae.